This 490-nucleotide ribosomal RNA is filed under the name uncultured bacterium. RNAcentral describes it as "partial 16S ribosomal RNA". It matches the Rfam family "Bacterial small subunit ribosomal RNA", at positions 30 to 507 of the family's 1533-position model. The record is from RNAcentral.
UGACCGCUGGCGGCAUGCUUUACACAUGCAAGUCGAACGGUAACAGGCCUUCGGGUGCUGACGAGUGGCGAACGGGUGAGUAAUGCAUCGGAACGUACCCAGAGGUGGGGGAUAACGCAGCGAAAGCUGUGCUAAUACCGCAUGUGAUCUGAGGAUGAAAGCGGGGGACCGAGCAGCAAUGUUUGGCCUCGCGCCUUUGGAGCGGCCGAUGUCGGAUUAGCUAGUUGGUGGGGUAAAGGCCUACCAAGGCGACGAUCCGUAGCUGGUCUGAGAGGACGACCAGCCACACUGGGACUGAGACACGGCCCAGACUCCUACGGGAGGCAGCAGUGGGGAAUUUUGGACAAUGGGCGCAAGCCUGAUCCAGCAAUGCCGCGUGCGGGAAGAAGGCCUUCGGGUUGUAAACCGCUUUUGGCAGGAACGAAACGGUGUCCGCUAAUACCGGGCGCUAAUGACGGUACCUGCAGAAUAAGCACCGGCUAACUACGUG